RNAcentral lists this unclassified non-coding RNA (207 nucleotides) under uncultured fungus. Its description in RNAcentral is "sequence contains ITS1". Lineage: Eukaryota; Fungi. The record is from RNAcentral.
UUAAUUAUUUUGUUUGAUGACUCAGAGAUAGAACUGAAAACAGAGUUGAGUUGGGGCUUCUGGCGGGCACCUUUCCCCGAGGGAAAGGCGACGGCCCCUCCCUGGGGCUGCCCGCCGAAGCAACAAUGUAAGUUUACACAGGGUUGAUGAAGAGGCCCGAAAGCUCUCUAUCUCGUAAUGAUCCCUCCGCUGGUUCACCAACGGAGA